RNAcentral lists this ribosomal RNA (434 nucleotides) under uncultured bacterium. RNAcentral describes it as "bacterial SSU rRNA". It matches the Rfam family "Bacterial small subunit ribosomal RNA", at positions 54 to 490 of the family's 1533-position model. The record is from RNAcentral.
CAUGCAAGUCGAGCGAAGCAGUUAAGAAGAUUCUUCGGAUGAUUCUUAACUGACUGAGCGGCGGACGGGUGAGUAACGCGUGGGUGACCUGCCCCAUACCGGGGGAUAACAGCUGGAAACGGCUGCUAAUACCGCAUAAGCGCACAGAGCUGCAUGGCUCGGUGUGAAAAACUCCGGUGGUAUGGGAUGGGCCCGCGUCUGAUUAGGCAGUUGGCGGGGUAACGGCCCACCAAACCGACGAUCAGUAGCCGGCCUGAGAGGGCGACCGGCCACAUUGGGACUGAGACACGGCCCAAACUCCUACGGGAGGCAGCAGUGGGGAAUAUUGCACAAUGGGGGAAACCCUGAUGCAGCGACGCCGCGUGAGCGAAGAAGUAUUUCGGUAUGUAAAGCUCUAUCAGCAGGGAAGAUAAUGACGGUACCUGACUAAGAAG